CCGUGCCCGGCGGGCGGUUGGAGGGACCCCCUGUAACCAGGCGAGUGUCCCGUGGGGUCCCCACCCUUUCACAGGCGUGGGGCUGGGCGUGUGCCCUCCCUGUCCUCGGGGGAAGGCCGAGCUCCGUGGCUCCCUGGGUGUGAACCCGCCUGUAAGCAGGGUCCGGGUCUGGGAGCCUUUGUGCUCCCUCAGCUGGCAGCCUGUGCGGGGCGACCGCCCCCGUUAGCGGGGAGCGGGUCAGAUGCCCCCGAAGCGGAGAGAAGGAGCCUCCGCGGGCCUUUGGGCCCAGGGCUGCCCUGUAAGUCGGGGCCAGUGCCCUGGAGUCCCGGGCACUUUGCGCUCCAGGCAGCGGCCGGAGCCCCCUGUAAGCAGGGGUGCAGCCUCUUUGGCCACUGCUUUGCAUGCCCAGCUGCCUUUGCCCAGAGGGCCCGGCUCCCAGCAGCGGAUGGGACUGCGUCGCUCUGAAGCCGUCGGAGAAGAAAGAAGACACAGGAGUGAACUUCGAGGCAAGAGCGAAGAAGAGGAGCAGCAGCGUCGAGCUCAAGAGGGGGCACGACAGGGACCCUCUGGGCAAAUGCACCUCCCUGGCCCCCCCCGGGCAGGGAUCCGUAAGAGUCCAGCGGGCACCUUCAGGCUGCCCCGGCUGGCUUUGCGCUGGGCGACCUCCCUGUAAGCAGGGCUGGGUCUUUGA
This is a long non-coding RNA of Pseudopipra pipra, 691 nucleotides long. RefSeq lists it as uncharacterized. The record is from RefSeq and is a predicted model, not a curated record. The transcript is spliced from 2 exons. Lineage: Eukaryota; Metazoa; Chordata; Aves; Passeriformes; Pipridae.